CCUACGGGUGGCAGCCGUGAGGAAUAUUGGUCAAUGGACGAGAGUCUGAACCAGCCAAGUAGCGUGAAGGAUGACUGCCCUAUGGGUUGUAAACUUCUUUUAUAUGGGAAUAAAAUGUUCCACGUGUGGGAGUUUGUAUGUCCCAUAUGAAUAAUGAUUGGCUAACUCCGUGCCAGCAUCCGCGGUAAUACGGAGGAUCCGAGCGUUAUCCGGAUGGAUUGGGUUUAAAGGGAGCGUAGGUGGAUUGUUAAGUCAGUUGUGAAAGUUUGCGGCUAAACCGUAAAAUUGCAGUUGAAACUGGCAGUCUUGAGUACAGUAGAGGUGGGCGGAAUUCGUGGUGUAGCGGGGAAAGGCUUAGAUAUCACGAAGAACUCCGAUUGCGAAGGCAGUUCACUGGACUGCAACUGACACUGAGGCUCGAAAGUGUGGGUAUCAAACAGGAUUAGAUACCCCAGUAGUC
RNAcentral lists this ribosomal RNA (460 nucleotides) under uncultured bacterium. RNAcentral's name for it is "partial 16S ribosomal RNA". It matches the Rfam family "Bacterial small subunit ribosomal RNA", at positions 338 to 795 of the family's 1533-position model. The record is from RNAcentral.